GUUUAAUUAGUAUAAUUAGUACAUUUAAUUUCCAAUUAAAAAGUUUAAUAAAAAUUAAACA
Molecule: transfer RNA, 61 nt
Filed under: Haemaphysalis qinghaiensis
Lineage: Eukaryota; Metazoa; Arthropoda; Arachnida; Ixodida; Ixodidae
Description: tRNA-Gly
Source: RNAcentral